Molecule: ribosomal RNA, 233 nt
Filed under: uncultured bacterium
Lineage: Bacteria
Description: partial 16S ribosomal RNA
Rfam family: Bacterial small subunit ribosomal RNA
Source: RNAcentral
UGGCGGACGGGUGAGUAAUGUCUGGGAAACUGCUGAUGGAGGGGAUAACUACUGGAAACGGUAGCUAAUACCGCAUAACGUCGCAAGACCAAAGAGGGGGACCUUCGGGCCUCUUGCCAUCGGAUGUGCCCAGAUGGGAUUAGCUAGUAGGUGGGGUAACGGCUCACCUAGGCGACGAUCCCUAGCUGGUCUGAGAGGAUGACCAGCCACACUGGAACUGAGACACGGUCCAG